Non-coding RNA from Myotis brandtii (Brandt's bat), 74 nucleotides. The record is from Rfam. Lineage: Eukaryota; Metazoa; Chordata; Mammalia; Chiroptera; Vespertilionidae.
CUGGGGGCGGGGGGGUCCCUCAGCCCGGAUUGCGAGAGGGCGCAGGCCAGGCCUAAGGACCCCAUCAAUGCAUG